CGGGGCCAGACGGAGUCCUGGCCCUUGCAGGCUGUUAGAAAGCCUGAGUUGGUGGGAGCCAUGGCCGAGGGUGACAUGAGCUUCGGGCUGCGGUGUGGACACAGAUUCUAAGCAAGCAGAGGGACCAGAUGGGAGACACCUGGAUCACGUAACCAAGAAAGACAAAAUGAGGCUUAGACUGGGGGUGCCAGGAGAGGCAGGGAGAAGAAGGUGGGGUCCAGAUCUAUCUUGAAGGUGAACUUAGCGGGGAUUUGCUGAUGGACUGAUCGGACGUUGCCGAGAUAAAAUACCUGACACCCAAAGUUAAAGGAGGAAGGGUUUAUUUGGCUUACAGUUCAUAGAGGUUUCAGUCCAUCAUCAGCUGGCCCCAUGGCAGGGCGGCAGAGGGCCAACCAUUCAUGGCAGCUGAAGAUGGCAAAAACGAGUGACCUUAACAGCGUCUUUCUUUUAUCCCUUUUAUCCCCCAGAUGACCAGGAUUAAGGCAGUGCUAAAUCAAUCAGUCACGUGUAGUGGUUUAGUAAUCACACACCCUUCAUCCCAGCACCACACGGCCCAGAUUCAGCCACCGCUGAAAAAGACUGCCUGAGGCUUUGUGGGGGACGUUAGACACAAGCCGUAACAGCCGGCCUCAUCGAUGUUUUGUUGGCCCAAGAAGCUGGAAGGUGUGACCAGAACUACAGUGAGUGCUGCUGCGAGUGCCAUCCAACGGAAAGGCUCACGAAAACCCCACGGCGAGUCCUCGUCCACCUUAUUCACUGGAUCUGGCCGGGUGUGAUGUCUGAACUGCGAAAUGACUGUGAAAGGUAAGUGUUUUGAAUCGAGUCAGGACAUUGGGGCCAA
Molecule: long non-coding RNA, 841 nt
Filed under: Fukomys damarensis (Damara mole-rat)
Lineage: Eukaryota; Metazoa; Chordata; Mammalia; Rodentia; Bathyergidae
Description: lncRNA (ENSFDAG00000027746.1)
Source: RNAcentral